This 1200-nucleotide long non-coding RNA is filed under the name Sorghum bicolor (sorghum). RNAcentral's name for it is "long non-coding RNA (SBIC_LNC000617)". The record is from RNAcentral. Lineage: Eukaryota; Viridiplantae; Streptophyta; Magnoliopsida; Poales; Poaceae.
GGGGCUUGCAACCGUCACUUAUGUCUUGAGCAGUUAAAACAUAGAACAGUCUAGUCAAGCGCCAUGUCUCUUGUUCUUCGAUUAACUAUAGCUCUGGAGUAUUUGCAGAUUUUCAAAUAAAACUCAGAGAUUCCUUGUAUGACACUCUCUAGUCUCUCUUUUGUGGUAUUUCUGGAUCCUUACCAAGGCAGUAAUGGUGUAUGCCUUCUCUCAAAGUAUGUGGUAUUUUUGGUAUGAGGCAUAGUGGUAUUGCCUUCUCUCUCACCCUACUAUAAGGUUUUGAUAUCUGGAGCUCAUAGGUAGGAGACAGCUAAUACAUACUUACAAGACACUUAUUGCAUAGUCAAACCAUAGAUCCAGAAGAACAAGUCAAUAAGUCAAAUCAAGAUGUGCAUGUGUGGCGAAUGAAUGGUGAUAAUGGUGAAAAUAAUGGUGAAAGUCUAAUUCUACUUUUGCUCUUUUGAGGGGGUACAUACCUUUCUUGCACUUGAGGCUUUUGAGGGGAAUGAGACGCUCUAUAUUUUAUUUUUCUUUUCUCUUAGGUGGGUAUCUUGUACCCCUAAUUCUACUGUCCGACACUUAUCCAUUUUUACCUCUCGUCUCACUUUUUCUCUUUUUUUCAAGGUUUCGGGCACUUGCCCCUUUUUAUUUCCUCGUAUUCACUUUUUUUCAGAGCACUCACCCUCCUGGAAUAAUGUAGCAAGUGGUAGUAACCAAAAUAUCUCGAGCAUUUAUUUCACGGGGAAUAACAAGGAUAGGAUAAUGUUUUUGGCUAUUCUCUCCUAGAUAGGAGUAGAAUAAUUUUGGGUGAAUCUGGAUAUGGAAAUGAGUGGAUGUAUGUGGAUGCGUACUUCUGGAGUAGAAGCAGCAUGUAUGAGUGAACGUGCAAGUGAAUCUUGAUUUUAACCGCAUGACAAGCUCCUAAGGGUCUACAUAGCUUGACCACACUCAAUGCUCAUAAGCAGUAAAAAGUAAAUGUAUGGUUCAUAGUCUAAUAAGCUUGUAUAUAUGGCUGUGGUAGGAUUUUAAACUCUCAUCAUACAGGAACUCAUCAUGCAACAUUUUAAAGAUUUUCAAAGAUAAAAUUCUCCAGAAUUCUAGCAUCUCUAGGAAUAGAUAAACAGGAGCUCAACCUUCCCAUAUCAUAUCUGUUAACGACUUAGACUUUAGAUCAAGUACUCUUCCCACAAGUCCAGGUUU